Echinops telfairi (small Madagascar hedgehog) is the source of this 1506-nucleotide long non-coding RNA. RefSeq lists it as uncharacterized. The transcript is spliced from 3 exons. NCBI's taxonomy places the organism in Eukaryota, Metazoa, Chordata, Mammalia, Afrosoricida, Tenrecidae. The record is from RefSeq and is a predicted model, not a curated record.
UGUCUUUUCUCAGUCUUCACCCCCUCAAUCGAGUCCCCGUUGCUCUGCCGGCGGGCUCCCGCAGGUGGCGACCAACGUGGAAGCUCGAAAACACGGGAACAGGUAGAGGAAAACUGCCCGGUGAACAAAGACGCGUCGAAUAAAAAGACUCCCCGACCUGUGUGUAGCAAGAGCUGUGGCCUGGGAUUCAUGAACAUUCCUCAGGAAGGGCAGCCUGUCUGCUGCUUUGAUUGCAUUUUGGGUCCAGAAUAAAGAAUAGCUAAUCAAACAGAGGUGCCUCCGACAAAGACCUGUUGAUCUGCUUCCAAGAGAUCAAAGACACAGAAGACCACAGGGAGCACAGUCCUGCUCUGCGUUUCUGCCGAUUCCAGGAGUCGAGUCGAGUCAAAUGCAUCAAACAGCUAUUUUGACAAGUCACACAACUUUUCAUGGAAAGAUGAUAUGUGGGUUUUUAAAAAUCAGAGUUGUCAGGUAGAUAUAGAGAAGAGACAAUUAAAACCAAUAAAACCGUAUACCUGACCAUCCUGAGAUUUGAAAGAGGUCACCCUUUCCUCUGUUUCAUGUUCCCUCUCACUUUUCCCCCUAGAUAGUGGUCAACUUUGGGAGUGCACCCAAAGUCAGUACCCCAACACUGAGAGGAAUCGCUGUCUACCCAAAAGUGUGACCUCCCUGGAUUAUCAAGACCCACUGGGGAUGGCUCUGGCCUGCACAGCUCUGUGCUUCCCUGUCAUCACUGCCCUGGUUUUGUGGGUCUAUGUGAAAUACAGAGACUCUCCCAUGGUUAAGGCCAAGAACCGCACCCUCAGUCACGUCCUCCUCCUCUACCUCCUAAUCUGCUUCCUCCGCUCCUUACUCUUCAUCAGUCUUCCAAACACAGUCACCUGCGUCCUCAGCAAUAUCUCCUUUGCAGUCGUAUUCACUGUGGCUGUUUCCACCACUUUUGGCCAAAACCAUCACUGUGAUUCUGGCUUGCAAGGUCAUGAGACCUGGAGGAAUUAUGAGGCAGUUGCUGGUGCCUGGGGUUGUAAACCUGGUGGUUCCCUUUUGUUCCCUUCUCCAAUUGAUUAUUUGUGGGAUCUGGCUGGGAACAGCGGCCCCUUUCACUGCCAUAAGCACAUACUCUGAACCCAGGAUAAUCACCAUUGAGUGCAACAAGGGCUCUGUCACUGCCUUCUAUUGUGUCCUGGGAUUCCUGGGCUUCUUGGCCCUGGGGACAUUUUUCUUGGCUUACCAAGCCAGAAGCCUGCCUGACACCUUCAAUGAGGCCAAGGUCCUGACCUUCAGCAUGCUGGUGUUCUGCAGUGACUGGGUGAACUUCCUCCCUGUCUACCACAGCACCCAGGGGAAGGUCAUGGUGGCUGUGGAGAACUUCUCCAUCUUGGCCUCCAGUGUGGGGCUUCGAGGCUGCAUCUUUGCCCCAAAGUGCUAUAUUAUCUUACGACAUCCAGAUGGGAACACAUCAAAAGGGUUAAAGAAUAAAACAUCUACGAGGGACAAUGAUCAGAA